RNAcentral lists this ribosomal RNA (319 nucleotides) under uncultured soil bacterium. RNAcentral describes it as "bacterial SSU rRNA". It matches the Rfam family "Bacterial small subunit ribosomal RNA", at positions 27 to 352 of the family's 1533-position model. The record is from RNAcentral.
GGAUUGAACGCUGGCGGCAUGCCUAACACAUGCAAGUCGAACGGGAGUAGCAAUACUCUAGUGGCGGACGGGUGAGGAAUACGUAGGAAUUUGCCCUUAAGUGGGGGGGUAACCCGGGAAACCCGGAUUAAUACCGCAUGACCUCGAAAGAGCAAAGUGGGGGAUCGCAAGACCUCACGCUUUUGGAGAAGCCUACGUCGGAUUAGGCUAGUUGGUGAGGUAAUGGCUCACCAGGCGACGAUCCGUAACUGGUACUGAGAGGAUGAUCAGUCCACGACCGGAACUGGAGACGACGGUCCGACUCCGUAGGGACGGCAGC